CUUUGGGACUGAGACGUGACAUGCUGGGAACACAGGGAGAUCCGUAAAGCAGAAGGCAUUUCCUCUCAGCCUGGAGGGAUGGAGGCAAAGCAGAGGUCGGUGAGCAGUGACGGUCAUGGUGGCCACUAAGGGACAGUGCAGAGGGAUUGGCCAGGGCCAUGCCUUAGUGAGCUUUAAGACGUCUCAGCUUGUGUGAGACUCUGGCCAAGCACAAGCCUAAAUCUGAGGCACGUGGUAGGUAUCAACCUCACUCACUGCCAUUGUAACUGGGAGAAGAAUACAAAGGAAAUCAAGAGAAUCCAGUGUCCAGGGAGUCCUAAUUAGAUAGAUUUUGUUCCAACUGGGAGGAUGAGGACAGGCAUGGUAUGAGGGACUUGGUUGGAGUGGCAGGUGGGCGGGACCAAGAAAGUCUUCUGGUGGUGACCAGCCUACCCAGCGGAGGCCACUGUGUCUCUUUGGUCUGUUAUCCUGUGGCGGGAUCUCACCGGGUUCAGGCGUGGUCCUCCACAGUGUCUAGAUGGUGUGUUUGCUGCUGCUUGGUGAGGAAGCUCAGAUGGUCUGCAGUGUGUAAGUGUUGGGGAUUUAUAAUAGUUGCCAUUCUGACCAGAGUGAGAGGAGAUCUUAGAGUGGUUUUGAUUUGCAUUUCUCUAAUUGCUAGUGAUGGUGAACACUUUUUUCAUAUAUUUGUUGAUUGAUUGUACAUCAUCUUCUGAGAAGUGUCUGUUUCAGGUCCUUGGCCUAUUUAUUGACUGGGUUAUUUGUUUUUUGUGUGUGUUUAGCUUUUUGAGUUAUUUAUAUACCCUAGAGAUUAGUGCUCUAUCUGAUAUGUGAGGGGUCAGAAUGGCAGCUAUUAUGAAUACAAACAACAAUAAGUGUUGGCAAGGAUGUGGGGGAAAAGGUACACUCAUACAUUGCUGGUGGGGCUGCAAACUGGUGCAGCCAAUAUGGAAAGCAGUAUGGAGAUUCCUUGGAAAACUCGGAAUGGAACCACUAUUUGACCCAGCUAUACCCAAAGGACUUAAACCAGCAUACUACAGGGACACAGCCACAUCAAUGUUUAUAGCAGCAUAAUUCACAAUAGCUAAACUGUGGAGCCAACCUAGUUGCCCUUCAAUAGAUGAAUGGAUAAAAAAAUGUGGCAUAUGUACAUAAUGGAAUAUUACUCAGCAAUAAAAGAGAAUAAAAUCAUGGCAUUUGCAGGUAAAUGGAUGGAGUUAGAGAAGAUAAUGCUAAGCGAAGUUAGCCAAUCCCAAAAAAACAAAUGCUGAAUGUUUUCUCUGAUAUAAGGAAGCUGAUUCAUAGUGG
This 1305-nucleotide long non-coding RNA is filed under the name Marmota monax (woodchuck). The record is from RNAcentral. Lineage: Eukaryota; Metazoa; Chordata; Mammalia; Rodentia; Sciuridae.